UACGAAGGACCCAAGCGUUAUCCGGAUUUAUUGGGUUUAAAGGGUGCGUAGGCGGACUUGUAAGUCAGUGGUGAAAUCCUGCGGCUUAACUGCAGAACUGCCAUUGAAACUACUUGUCUUGAGUACAUUUGAAGCGGGCGGAAUGUGUCAUGUAGCGGUGAAAUGCAUAGAUAUGACACAGAACACCAAUUGCGAAGGCAGCUCGCUAAACUGUAACUGACGCUGAGGCACGAAAGCGUGGGUAGCAAACAGG
RNAcentral lists this ribosomal RNA (253 nucleotides) under uncultured bacterium. Its description in RNAcentral is "partial 16S ribosomal RNA". It matches the Rfam family "Bacterial small subunit ribosomal RNA", at positions 524 to 776 of the family's 1533-position model. The record is from RNAcentral.